This 238-nucleotide ribosomal RNA is filed under the name uncultured bacterium. RNAcentral describes it as "partial 16S ribosomal RNA". It matches the Rfam family "Bacterial small subunit ribosomal RNA", at positions 14 to 244 of the family's 1533-position model. The record is from RNAcentral.
GUAUCCUGGCUCAGGAUGAACGCUAGCGGCAGGCUUAACACAUGCAAGUCGAGGGGCAGCAUAAUGGAUAGCAAUAUCUAUGGUGGCGACCGGCGCACGGGUGCGUAACGCGUAUGCAACCUACCUUUAACAGGGGGAUAACACUGAGAAAUUGGUACUAAUACCCCAUAAUAUCAUAGAAGGCAUCUUUUANGGUUUGAAAAUUCCGAUGGUUAGAGAUGGGCAUGCGUUGUAUUAG